This 253-nucleotide ribosomal RNA is filed under the name uncultured bacterium. RNAcentral describes it as "partial 16S ribosomal RNA". It matches the Rfam family "Bacterial small subunit ribosomal RNA", at positions 524 to 776 of the family's 1533-position model. The record is from RNAcentral.
UACGUAGGUGGCAAGCGUUGUCCGGAUUUAUUGGGUUUAAAGGGUGCGUAGGCGGCUUUGUAAGUCAGCGGUGAAAUACUCUAGCUUAACUAGAGGGGUGCCAUUGAUACUGCGGAGCUUGAGUACAGAUGAGGUAGGCGGAAUUGACGGUGUAGCGGUGAAAUGCAUAGAUAUCGUCAAGGACACCGAUAGCGAAGGCAGCUUACUGGGCUGUAACUGGCGCUGAUGCACGAAAGUGUGGGGAUCAAACAGG